RNAcentral lists this ribosomal RNA (497 nucleotides) under uncultured bacterium. RNAcentral's name for it is "partial 16S ribosomal RNA". It matches the Rfam family "Bacterial small subunit ribosomal RNA", at positions 28 to 507 of the family's 1533-position model. The record is from RNAcentral.
GAUGAACGCUGGCGGCGUGCCUAAUACAUGCAAGUCGAGCGAACAGACGAGGAGCUUGCUCCUCUGACGUUAGCGGCGGACGGGUGAGUAACACGUGGAUAACCUACCUAUAAGACUGGGAUAACUUCGGGAAACCGGAGCUAAUACCGGAUAAUAUAUUGAACCGCAUGGUUCAAUAGUGAAAGACGGUUUUGCUGUCACUUAUAGCUGGAUCCGCGCCGCAUUAGCUAGUUGGUAAGGUAACGGCUUAGCAAGGCAACGAUGCGUAGCCGACCUGAGAGGGUGAUCGGCCACACGGGAACUGAGACACGGUCCAGACUCCUACGGGAGGCAGCAGUAGGGAAUCUUCCGCAAUGGGCGAAAGCUUGACGGAGCAACGCCGCGUGAGUGAUGAAGGUCUUCGGAUCGUAAAACUCUGUUAUUAGGGAAGAACAAAUGUGUAAGUAACUAUGCACGUCUUGACGGUACCUAAUCAGAAAGCCACGGCUAACUACGUG